Molecule: ribosomal RNA, 274 nt
Filed under: uncultured bacterium
Lineage: Bacteria
Description: partial 16S ribosomal RNA
Rfam family: Bacterial small subunit ribosomal RNA
Source: RNAcentral
AUACGGAGGGUGCAAGCGUUACUCGGAAUCACUGGGCGUAAAGCGCGCGCAGGCGGCUAUUUAAGUUGGAUGUGAAAGCCUACGGCUCAACCGUAGAACUGCAUCCAAAACUAUUUAGCUAGAGUGUGGGAGAGGAAGAUGGAAUUAGUUGUGUAGGGGUAAAAUCCGUAGAGAUAACUAGGAAUACCAAAAGCGAAGGCAAUCUUCUGGAACACUACUGACGCUGAGGCGCGAGAGCGUGGGGAGCAAACGGGAUUAGAUACCCUAGUAGUCC